CCUACGGGUGGCUGCAGUAGGGAAUAUUGCGCAAUGGGGGAAACCCUGACGCAGCAACGCCGCGUGAGUGAGGAAGGUCUUCGGAUUGUAAAACUCUUUUGCUAGGGAAAAAUGGUCAUGGAGCUAAUACCCCAUGAUUUGAUGGUACCUAAAGAAUAAGGACCGGCUAACUUCGUGCCAGCAGCCGCGGUAAUACGAAGGGUCCAAGCGUUGUUCGGAAUCAUUGGGCGUAAAGCGCGCGCAGGCGGGUUAGCAAGUCAGAUGUGAAAUCUCGG
Molecule: ribosomal RNA, 275 nt
Filed under: uncultured Peredibacter sp.
Lineage: Bacteria; Pseudomonadati; Bdellovibrionota; Bacteriovoracia; Bacteriovoracales; Bacteriovoracaceae
Description: partial 16S ribosomal RNA
Rfam family: Bacterial small subunit ribosomal RNA
Source: RNAcentral